UGAGACGACCAGACAAUCGCGCCUGCUUUGGCAGGUGAGGAAAGUCCGGGCUCCAUAGGGUAAGGUGCCAGGUAACACCUGGGAGGCGUGAGCCUACGGCCAGUGCAACAGAGAGUAUACCGCCGGUUUGUCUAGGCAAACCGGUAAGGGUGAAAGGGUGCGGUAAGAGCGCACCGCGCUUCUGGUAACAGAAGUGGCAUGGUAAACCCCACCUGGAGCAAGACCAAAUAGAGGAACAUCAUGUGCGACCCGUACUGUUCCUGGGUAGGUUGCUUGAGGCUGAUGGUGACAUCAGUCCCAGAUGAAUGAUUGUCCGCGACAGAACCCGGCUUAUGGUCGUCUCAACUU
RNAcentral lists this RNase P RNA (348 nucleotides) under Pseudomonadota bacterium. RNAcentral describes it as "RNase P RNA component class A". It matches the Rfam family "Bacterial RNase P class A". Rfam says of the family: Ribonuclease P (RNase P) is a ubiquitous endoribonuclease, found in archaea, bacteria and eukarya as well as chloroplasts and mitochondria. RNAcentral also lists the same sequence under 1 other name. The record is from RNAcentral. Lineage: Bacteria; Pseudomonadati; Pseudomonadota.